AGAGUUUGAUCCUGGCUCAGGACGAACGCUGGCGGCGUGCUUAACACAUGCAAGUCGAGCGGAAAGGCCCUUCGGGGUACUCGAGCGGCGAACGGGUGAGUAACACGUGAGCAACCUGCCCUAGGCUUUGGGAUAACCCUCGGAAACGGGGGCUAAUACCGAAUAUUCACUCACGGGCGCAUGUUUGUGGGUGGAAAGUUUUUCGGCUUGGGAUGGGCUCGCGGCCUAUCAGCUUGUUGGUGGGGUAAUGGCCUACCAAGGCGACGACGGGUAGCCGGCCUGAGAGGGCGACCGGCCACACUGGGACUGAGACACGGCCCAGACUCCUACGGGAGGCAGCAGUGGGGAAUAUUGCACAAUGGGCGGAAGCCUGAUGCAGCGACGCCGCGUGAGGGAUGACGGCCUUCGGGUUGUAAACCUCUUUCAGCAGGGACGAAGCGCAAGUGACGGUACCUGCAGAAGAAGCGCCGGCCAACUACGUG
RNAcentral lists this ribosomal RNA (482 nucleotides) under uncultured Micromonosporaceae bacterium. Its description in RNAcentral is "bacterial SSU rRNA". It matches the Rfam family "Bacterial small subunit ribosomal RNA", at positions 8 to 507 of the family's 1533-position model. The record is from RNAcentral. Lineage: Bacteria; Bacillati; Actinomycetota; Actinomycetes; Micromonosporales; Micromonosporaceae.